GUAACAUGACGUCUGCGACCUUAAAUGACGAAUUAUUGACGUCGUAUUAACGUCACCUUGCUACCUGGGGUAUUUCUUUUCACGCAAAUUGCGAUGAUACACUCGAAUCUGUAAGAUAACGAAAUUAUAAAUAUUGCGAUGAUGCGCUUGAAUCCGCACGCUUUCUAUUGCGCGCUUGCAUCCGUACGAUUUCCUACGUUUUGAAACCGCAUGACUACUAUGAGAAUAGAGAUAAUGCGAGGAUGCACUUAUUUCAUUUUCCGUUAUUUCACUUAUAAAUACCUGAUAAUAUAAUUCUCUCGUUUCAUAAUUAGAUUUACAUUUACAAUUGUUAUAAUUGUAUUUUGUAUUAAAAAAACGUAAUCAAGUUUCAGCUAACCUCCAAGAGAAUACCCGUACGAUUGAUGUUUUUCCGAACAUGUCAAGGGGGAACCACAAACAAAUAAAAUGCCGCGUCGAUAUAUUGCGUCUCGCCAUUCGAAGUGAACACGCAGAUCUCGCAACAUCUCGAGGAAAAUGCGCGCCCAUCUCGUAGUCGCGAUCGCAAUCUCCGUCGUCUGUGCCCUUGUAAACGAAAACGAACGAAUCGUUAGGGAAAACAACGAAUUCGCAAUUAAUUAUCUACAGAAAUAUGGAUCUCUCAGCGAGAAGAUGCAAUCGUUUGAAACCAUUGGCGAACAGCGAAUUCUCCAAGACUCUAUCAGCCUUUUUCAAGAAUAUUAUAAAUUAUCUAUUACCGGCGAGGUGAGCAACGAAACCUUAGAUCAGAUGCGUAAACCGCGAUUUGGACAACCAGACAUUAUACAACAAAAUUCCAAUGCUAUCGAAAAUAAAUGGCCGCAAAAGCAACUCACGUGGAAUUUUCAUUUAGCAACAAAACCAAUGUUAAAAACCACCCGGGCCGCUUUUAAUUUAUGGCAAACUGCAUCGUCAUUGACAUUCAAACGAAAUAUAUCACAUCCAAAUAUUUUAAUAUCAUGGCGCGACGGUAAUCACAUGAUGCUCGAUCGUCGAAAUGGUAACUUGUGCUCCUCUCCUUUGGAUGGUCAGGGAGGGGUACUCGCUCAUGCCGCUUAUCCAACGGAGCACGCAGAUUAUAUUUCCGAAAUUCAUGUCGACAGUAAGGAACAUUGGUAUAUUUAUCUAGAUCAAACUCCAGCAAACUCUGACAGUUUAUUAUAUGUACUGACGUAUGAGAUUGGUCAUUCCUUAGGAUUGCAGCACAAUCCACACACGGAUUCUAUCAUGUGUGCCUACAUAACACAUUAGUCUUAUCCUAUUAAACUAAGCGACGAGGAUAUUCUCAAUAUUCAAAAUCUCUACGGUAACUCGACUACCGAAAAGUCGUCGAAUAAACCGAUAUCCCCCCGAAACUUCCGGUACCAACACCAAAGGAUAUUCCAAACGAUCUGUGCGAAAUAAAACGCAUCGAUGCGAUAUUACUGUUGAGAAAACAAAUGUAUAUCGCGAACAAAAAAUACGUAUGGUUGAUAAGACUGGACGAUAAAAAAUAUAACCAACCACUAACACUUUCUACUUAUUUGAAAUUUCUACCUCCGAAUUAUACGCGCAUUUCAGCCUCGUAUCAAACUCCGUCCGGCGAUAUAAUACUAUUCGUGGAUAAUGCUAUUUACAAAGUGAAUUAUCCGAGCUUCUCGUUGGAUACCAAUUGGCCAAGAACAUUUUCGGAAUUCGGAUUGCCCGCAGAUGCGAUGAUGAACGCCGCGAUAAACAAAUCGGGGAUGCUCCUACGUGAUAUACAACGGAUACAUGAUCGGUGAGGUGGCCGACUAUAACGGAAGCAUCGUUAAAUAUUAUACUAUUCACACGAUCUUUCCGGGAAUACCGCCGAAUAUUGCGUUAGCUUUCCGAUAUCUCGACGGUAACCUUUAUUUCGUGUCGCAACAACAGAUUUACAAAUUCAACGAAUUUACGGAAAACGUACUCUCGGCGAGUAGGUUCGACAUACAAUCGAUCGGCAUCAAUUGUCCGCGAUACGGAUUACUGCAACAAUUGCGCGACCUCUUGCAUAAAUUCACGCGAAAUACCGAACAUUAAUGAGAGAGAAGGACAGCAAUUUAUUUUAGAGCGCAUAGAGAACGGUUAGUCUCGCGUAAUCCGUCUACUGAUACGCAACGUAAGAGCGAAAAUAAUCGACGAUGUAUUCUACGUUGGCGGAACAACAAUCCGAUACGUUCGACAAUGGUAAUGUGAAACGAAAAAAUUCAGAUUGCGCGAAUAAGGAAAAUACGAAGAGAAAACAAACAUUCAACAAUGUCAACGCGCGAUCCGACCCUCCUCGCAUAUUGGCAAGACGAUACACGUUGACGAAAACAGGGUACAAGUACCUAGACAUCGGCAUCGUCGUAAAGUCACCAUCGUACGUGAACAUCGUACUCGGAGAUUGUCACGAAAAAGAAAUCUCAUUCACGAUCGACGAGUGGAAGGAACUGGUAAAACUAAAAUCUACGAUAAUAACGACACUUCGCUCCAACAACAACAACAACAACAACAACAACAACAACAACAACACAGACGACAACAUGGAAUUACCUACGGUUGGAAACAACAUUUUCCUGCGAGUUGGAAAAAUAAACAAUCUACCGAUUCUACGUUUGGAACAUCCCUCUAAUCGUUUGAUCUUAUCGCUCUCAACCGUGAUCGUUAUGUUCGACCACGAUUACUGUAUCGAUCGCAUCGUCAAAGCGCUCUCCCCGGUGACGAAAAUCGUUGACGCGAAAGUCAAACGUUUCCAGGAAAUCACCGCAAACGUCGACAACCCCGCUGACGGUCCGCGCGCGAUCCGGGAAAGCGCGCAAUUCGAUACCAAUGACAUCGUCGAUUGCGAACUAGCCGUUAUCUGUUUCGGAUUCUUUUAAACACGCCGUUCUCGGUUUCGUAAUUUCUUUUGUUGGUUGUAAUAAAAAAAUUGUAUUCUUAAAUAAACAAAUAUAACCUGUC
RNA transcript from Monomorium pharaonis (pharaoh ant), 2961 nucleotides. It is a transcript of the gene named probable serine/threonine-protein kinase DDB_G0278521, with no coding region annotated. The record is from RefSeq and is a predicted model, not a curated record. The transcript is spliced from 2 exons. NCBI's taxonomy places the organism in Eukaryota, Metazoa, Arthropoda, Insecta, Hymenoptera, Formicidae.